This 786-nucleotide ribosomal RNA is filed under the name uncultured beta proteobacterium. Its description in RNAcentral is "bacterial SSU rRNA". It matches the Rfam family "Bacterial small subunit ribosomal RNA", at positions 8 to 786 of the family's 1533-position model. Lineage: Bacteria; Pseudomonadati; Pseudomonadota; Betaproteobacteria. The record is from RNAcentral.
AGGGUUUGAUCCUGGGCUCAGAUUGAACGCUGGCGGCAUGCUUUACACAUGCAAGUCGAACGGUAACGCGGGCUUUGGCCUGGCGACGAGUGGCGAACGGGUGAGUAGAACAUCGGAACGUAUCCUGGAGUGGGGGAUAGCCCGGCGAAAGCCGGAUUAAUACCGCAUGAGCUCUGAGGAGGAAAGCGGGGGAACCGCAAGGACCUCGCGCUGUUGGAGCGGCCGAUGCCGGAUUAGCUUGUUGGUGAGGUAAAGGCUCACCAAGGCUGCGAUCCGUAGCUGGUCUGAGAGGAUGAUCAGCCACACUGGAACUGAGACACGGUCCAGACUCCUACGGGAGGCAGCAGUGGGGAAUUUUGGACAAUGGGGGCAACCCUGAUCCAGCCAUGCCGCGUGCGGGAAGAAGGCCUUCGGGUUGUAAACCGCUUUCGGCCGGAACGAAAUGGUGCAGGUUAAUACCCUGUAUUGAUGACGGUACCGGAAGAAGAAGCACCGGCUAACUACGUGCCAGCAGCCGCGGUAAUACGUAGGGUGCGAGCGUUAAUCGGAAUUACUGGGCGUAAAGCGUGCGCAGGCGGCUUUUUAAGACAGGUGUGAAAUCCCCGGGCUUAACCUGGGAAUGGCGCUUGUGACUGGAAGGCUAGAGUGCGGCAGAGGGGGAUGGAAUUCCUGGUGUAGCAGUGAAAUGCGUAGAUAUCAGGAGGAACACCGAUGGCGAAGGCAGUCCCCUGGGUCGACACUGACGCUCAGGCACGAAAGCGUGGGGAGCAAACAGGAUUAGAUACC